GAGGAGAGUGGAAUUCCACGUGUAGCGGUGAAAUGCAUAGAGAUGUGGAGGAACACCAGUGGCGAAGGCGACUCUCUGGUCUGUAACUGACGCUGAGGCGCGAAAGCGUGGGGAGCGAACAGGAUUAGAUACCCUGGUAGUCCACGCCGUAAACGAUGAGUGCUAGGUGUUAGGGGGUUUCCGCCCCUUAGUGCUGAAGUUAACGCAUUAAGCACUCCGCCUGGGGAGUACGGCCGCAAGGCUGAAACUCAAAAGAAUUGACGGCCGCCCGCACAAGCGGUGGAGCAUGUGGUUUAAUUCGAAGCAACGCGAAGAACCUUACCAGGUCUUGACAUCCUCUGACCACGCUAGAGAUAGGGCUAUCCCUUCGGGGACAGAGUGACAGGUGGUGCAUGGUUGUCGUCAGCUCGUGUCGUGAGUUGUUGGGUUAAGUCCCGCAACGAGCGCAACCCUUAUUCUUAGUUGGGCAGCAUUUAGUUGGGCACUCUAACGAGACUGCCGGUGACAAACCGCAGGAAGGUGGGGAUGACGUCAAAUCAUCAUGCCCCUUAUGACCUGGGCUACACACGUGCUACAAUGGAUGGUACAAAGGGCAGCAAAACCGCGAGGUCGAGCAAAUCCCAUAAAACCAUUCUCAGUUCGGAUUGCAGGCUGCAACUCGCCUGCAUGAAGCCGGAAUCGCUAGUAAUCGCGGAUCAGCA
This 701-nucleotide ribosomal RNA is filed under the name Paucisalibacillus sp. Its description in RNAcentral is "bacterial SSU rRNA". It matches the Rfam family "Bacterial small subunit ribosomal RNA", at positions 654 to 1354 of the family's 1533-position model. Lineage: Bacteria; Bacillati; Bacillota; Bacilli; Caryophanales; Bacillaceae. The record is from RNAcentral.